Long non-coding RNA from Juglans regia (Persian walnut), 318 nucleotides. RefSeq lists it as uncharacterized. The transcript is spliced from 3 exons. NCBI's taxonomy places the organism in Eukaryota, Viridiplantae, Streptophyta, Magnoliopsida, Fagales, Juglandaceae. The record is from RefSeq and is a predicted model, not a curated record.
CCCUCUGAAACAAACACGUCGAAGACCCAAUCCCGUCUAUAUAUAUUCACCUUCCUCCCUCGCAAAAUUUACUACAAUCUUCUUCAAAUCGAUACUCAAAAAAUCUCAAUCAAGCCACCUCACUGUCAGCCACAGGGAACAUCGGAUCCAGGAGAUCAUCAAUCUCCUCUCUCGGUGACGAGCUACAAAGUGAGAUUCAGGAAAUAAUGUUGUGAGGUGAGGAUGAUGAAUACAAGCAGGCAAGCCAGGAUUAAAAGGAGCAGUUAAUUUCAGUUUCAGACUUUCUAAAAUAAAGUUGCUUUUAUGACAUGAAUUUAU